RNAcentral lists this ribosomal RNA (626 nucleotides) under uncultured bacterium. Its description in RNAcentral is "bacterial SSU rRNA". It matches the Rfam family "Bacterial small subunit ribosomal RNA", at positions 249 to 885 of the family's 1533-position model. The record is from RNAcentral.
UUGGUGGGGUGAUGGCCUACCAAGGCGACGACGGGUAGCCGGCCUGAGAGGGCGACCGGCCACACUGGGACUGAGACACGGCCCAGACUCCUACGGGAGGCAGCAGUGGGGAAUCUUGCGCAAUGGGCGAAAGCCUGACGCAGCGACGCCGCGUGAGGGAUGACGGCCUUCGGGUUGUAAACCUCUUUCAGCCCUGACGAAGCGAAAGUGACGGUAGGGGCAGAAGAAGCACCGGCCAACUACGUGCCAGCAGCCGCGGUAAUACGUAGGGUGCAAGCGUUGUCCGGAAUUAUUGGGCGUAAAGAGCUCGUAGGUGGCCUGUCGCGUCGGCUGUGAAAACUCGGGGCUCAACUCCGAGCUUGCAGUCGAUACGGGCAGGCUAGAGUGCGGCAGGGGAGACUGGAAUUCCUGGUGUAGCGGUGAAAUGCGCAGAUAUCAGGAGGAACACCGGUGGCGAAGGCGGGUCUCUGGGCCGAUACUGACACUGAGGAGCGAAAGCGUGGGGAGCGAACAGGAUUAGAUACCCUGGUAGUCCACGCCGUAAACGUUGGGCGCUAGGUGUGGGAUCCCUUCCACGGGUUCCGUGCCGCAGCUAACGCAUUAAGCGCCCCGCCUGGGGAGUACGG